GUGGAAAUGAAUAUCUUAUGGAAUGCCAUGAAGAUCAAAAGAGAUGUGGAAAGUCUUGAGCCCAGUGCCUGAUGGACUGAUUACACAAAGGAAUCACCCUUUGGAAGAUUACUCUGAAGAAGUGUCACCUGGGCCUCGACACACUCCAUCAUUUGGUGGCUCUACUUCAGAAAUUUCAGUCUAUAGCAGUAAGACAACACUGAAGUUAGAACUGGAAAUCAUUACAGUGUCAGCAUGACUA
Long non-coding RNA from Suricata suricatta (meerkat), 241 nucleotides. RefSeq lists it as uncharacterized. The transcript is spliced from 2 exons. Lineage: Eukaryota; Metazoa; Chordata; Mammalia; Carnivora; Herpestidae. The record is from RefSeq and is a predicted model, not a curated record.